UGUGACGGAUGUUAAUAAGGGUGUGUACUCACAAUCUAUAUUAAUGUAUUUCACUAAUGAUCCCUCCUUUCAAUUUUCAUGUAUUUAUUUUGUAUUUGCCGUUCACGAAAAUGUGAUAAUUUAGGUUUGUCCUUUAUUUGAGUCAUUUUUGGGAAAUGAGUUUUAUAUUGAUUUUACGUUGUGACGUCAUAUCUGUUCAGCCCGCGCUGCGUCCUCAGACCGCGCUGAGCACGCUGAGGAGAGGUAAGCAGUUAGCGGUGCUCCGCCAAUAUAAAGUUGUAAAAGUUACCAGAAUUGUUAAUAAGUACUUAAUAUGCUAAAAUAUUAUUGUUAAGAGUGUUACAAACGUACUGAAAAUUGUUUUAUGUGUGGAUGGAUGACAUCUAAUGGUUUAUCAUUGAGUACAGCGGUUUGAGUAUGUAUGUGCGUCAGUAGGACACAGUGAUUUUAGUGAAUCAAUUAACUGGUGUUGUAUCUGUCCAGGUGGAAAAAUCACAGAACGAAAACCUUUCUCAUUGUUGUACUCUCUCUGCUCCAUCCAGGUAUAGAUAAUUGUUCAUUUGAUCUUCAAUUAAUUUUUGUAUCACUUUGUUCAAUUCAUCAAUUCUAAUUCAUGUUUGAUUUAAAAAUUUGCUGCAGAAGAUUAUAUCAUAUCUGGAUAAAUGUCUGUAACGAUUUAUCUGGCACUGUAUUUUUGAUGUUAUCAUUGUGAUUUUCACUGAGACCGCGCUGAGCACGCUGAGGAGAGGUGGAAAAAUCACAGAACGAAAACCUUUCUCAUUGUUGUACUCUCUCUGCUCCAUCCAGGUAUAGAUAAUUGUUCAUUUGAUCUUCAAUUAAUUUUUGUAUCACUUUGUUCAAUUCAUCAAUUCUAAUUCAUGUUUGAUUUAAAAAUUUGCUGCAGAAGAUUAUAUCAUAUCUGGAUAAAUGUCUGUAACGAUUUAUCUGGCACUGUAUUUUUGAUGUUAUCAUUGUGAUUUUCACUGAGACCGCGCUGAGCACGCUGAGGAGAGGUGGAAAAAUCACAGAACGAAAACCUUUCUCAUUGUUGUACUCUCUCUGCUCCAUCCAGCACCUGCAUGCUCCAUUUCAAUAAACCCUCCAUCAGCAGCA
This is a long non-coding RNA of Carassius gibelio (silver crucian carp), 1113 nucleotides long. RefSeq lists it as uncharacterized. The transcript is spliced from 2 exons. The record is from RefSeq and is a predicted model, not a curated record. Lineage: Eukaryota; Metazoa; Chordata; Actinopteri; Cypriniformes; Cyprinidae.